RNAcentral lists this long non-coding RNA (1256 nucleotides) under Olea europaea (common olive). RNAcentral describes it as "long non-coding RNA (OEUR_LNC007219)". Lineage: Eukaryota; Viridiplantae; Streptophyta; Magnoliopsida; Lamiales; Oleaceae. The record is from RNAcentral.
AUCUUUAAGUGUUUGAUUGGCAAUUUUUUCUAAGCAAUUGGUUUUCUAGCUUCACCAUCACGUGAUCAAGUUUUCCACCAUUUGUGGAAUUGCAAUUCUUAUGGGGUUAGGUGAGAAAGUGGGUUUUCCAGGUUUAUUAUUAUUAUUAUUAUUAUUUCGCAAUGGAAACAAAUUUUAUCUAUAAUUGUAAUAAAUUUUAUCUCUUUAAUUGACAAUUUUCAUGUAAAACAAAGCUAAAUGACACCAAAAGAUCUAAAAUUUCAAUAUUUUUCAGAUGAAAAAUUAUAUCAAUCAAACACGUUUAAUUUAAAUUUUCAGUAAAACAAAUUUUAGACAAUUCAAUUUCCUAAAAUUCAUUUUUUUCUAUCCAAAUUUGAUUCUUACAAUUAAACGGACCCUAAAUAAUCUUUUGAAAUUGUUUACUUAUCAUAAGUAGUUUAUCAAACGUGCAGAAACCUUUACAUGGUAAGGCUACAAGACACUAUUGUCUGAAACUUUUGUCUCUGCAGCAUUGGUUUUAGCAGUUGUCUCAUUUCUGCUGAGAAGUGGCAGAUUUGGCAUACAUAUAUAGUUGAGUCACUUCAGUUUCUGGUCAUCUUCUGCACUUGUUCUUGCAGCUGAAAUUAAAACGUUAAAUAAUUUUGUUUCUUUUCACCCAAAAAAAAAAAAAAGGUUAUUAAGAAAGGUGAAUUAAAAUUCAUAUGUGAUCUAGCUAGCUUUGGGGGAGAUUGAUUUAGGUUUGCGUUUAUUAAAGGAGAGAAGAAUUUCACUAUUACGAUAAUGGAUAUUUGAUGAGGGCAUGCAUUUUCGAAAUGAUACUAGACAUACAUGUGAAAAAGAAUUUAAAUUCUUUUUUGUUUUUUUAAUAAUUCGAUUCUAUGUGACUCAUUUUAACCAUAAACUUCUAUUUUUUAUUUUUAUGAAAUCAAUUGAUAUUUUUUUGGGGGAAAAAUCACAUAUCCACUAUUGCAACAUAGCAAUUCCCAGACACUAGGUUUCAAAAUUCAAAAGUCAAGUUUCUAUUUUAAUUUUAAUUAAUAAUAUUAUCAAAUUAAAUUAAUCUAUCUAUACUAACUUCACUAAACAACCACCCCUAACCCACUCGUCGACGACUUCUUUGACAGCGAAUUGAACUCAGUCGAUCGAUCAUCUGAAUGCCGUUGUGCCCAACCUUGUUGGUCGGAGCUCUGGUGAUAACGGUGCAAGACUAAGAGAGUGAGAGAUGAGAGGGAGCCCGAGCAAGUAAGAGAUAGAGA